UAGUCCACGCUGUAAACGAUGAUUACUCGGUGCUGGCGAUACACUGUCAGUGCCUAAGCGAAAGUGAUAAGUAAUCCACCUGGGGAGUACGAUCGCAAGGUUGAAACUCAAAGGAAUUGACGGGGGCCCGCACAAGCGGUGGAGCAUGUGGUUUAAUUCGAUGAUACGCGAGGAACCUUACCUGGGCUUAAAUGCAUAAUGACAGACUGGGAAACCAGUCCUUCUUCGGACAGAAUGCAAGGUGCUGCAUGGCUGUCGUCAGCUCGUGCUGUGAGGUGUCGGGUUAAGUCCCAUAACGAGCGCAACCCCUAUUUCUAGUUGCCAGCACAUAAUGGUGGGGACUCUAGAAAAACUGCCCGCGCAAGCGGUGAGGAAGGUGGGGACGACGUCAAGUCAUCACGGCCCUUACGUCCAGGGCUACACACGUGCUACAAUGGCGGUGACAGUGAGCAGCGACCCCGCGAGGGUGAGCUAAUCUCCAAAAACCGUCUCAGUUCGG
This 499-nucleotide ribosomal RNA is filed under the name uncultured bacterium. Its description in RNAcentral is "bacterial SSU rRNA". It matches the Rfam family "Bacterial small subunit ribosomal RNA", at positions 791 to 1296 of the family's 1533-position model. The record is from RNAcentral.